Molecule: long non-coding RNA, 768 nt
Organism: Patella vulgata (common limpet)
Lineage: Eukaryota; Metazoa; Mollusca; Gastropoda; Patellidae
Exons: 4
Source: RefSeq, a predicted model, not a curated record
UGGACUGCAAGGAAAGUGUUUAAAAUCAUGUUCUGGUUAUGGACAACCAAGGAAUGAUUUUGGACCUUUGGGGUGUUAUACUAAUUAUGGAUAUACAUGUUGCGUUAAAACAGCAGAAACAACAACCACAACUACUACUACAACUACUACUACCACAGCUGCUACAACAAAACAACCAACAACAACCACACUACCAACAACCGCGUUACCAGUUGAAAUACCAUGCGGUGUACGAUCAAACCCUAAUACCAACCUUGGUAGAAUUCUUGGAGGAUUUCAAACAUCGCCAUGUGAUUGGCCAUGGCUGGUUUCUGUUCGUGGGAAGACAUCAACCACUUCUACUGAAACAGUUCCUUAUUGUAGUGGAGUCCUGAUUGAUGAUCUGUGGGUUGUUACCACUGCAUACUGUGCCUUAAUAUCAUCAUUUCAAACCCCUAAUGGAGGGGCAUCGACAGACAGUUUAUCUGUGGUUGCUGGGGAGUAUAAUACUGAUGUGCCUGAUAUUGUAUCUAAUAAUCCCAUAGAUACAACGUUCGGGGUCUCCAAUAUAAUCAUCCAUGAAAACUAUUACAAAACAGACCCAACACUGUUUACCAUCAAUGAUGUAUUUAAUAAUACACUGGAUAAGGAAUCAUACAACAUUGCCCUACUCAAAUUACAGAGACCAGCAACUUUUGGAAAAUGUGUGCGUAAAGUUUGUCUUCCGUCUGUGCAAACGACGUGUUCACUUACGAAGACUUGUAUGAUAGCUGGGUGGGGCGUGAAUAA